This is a long non-coding RNA of Gallus gallus (chicken), 1084 nucleotides long. NCBI's taxonomy places the organism in Eukaryota, Metazoa, Chordata, Aves, Galliformes, Phasianidae. The record is from Ensembl.
UCCAGACUGAACAAUCCCAGCUCCUUCAGCCACUCUUCAUAAGUGGCUGGCAUUUGAUGCUUGGAGUUCUCAAGCAACUCAGAGCUAUUCUAAGCAAUAAAUAGAUGCUAACACUUUUGCUGAGUAUUACAAAGUGAAUAGAAGAAUUGUGAAACCUGACUUCUGGAAAAAUGAAUUAAAAAAAGAGGUCAAAAUGCUGGAGAAAUUCUGAGUGAAAGAGGAAAGAAAAAAAAAAAAAAGACGAAGAAGAAAGAAAAAAUCAAGAGCUUCCAUAUAUUAAAUAUCUGAAAUACUUGCUUCUCAAAAGAGAAGAAGAACAAUGUAUCCCAGAAGACCUCACAGUCAGAGAAGGAAGAUCCAUCAUGGAAGUCACGGGAUUUGAGUGACGUGAUCGGGUUCACUCGCUCUCUCUCUGGUAGCCACACCGAGGGGUGGGUGUGCUUCCAAGCCAUAUGCUUUCAUCAGGUUUGAGCAAUGGGGAUCUCUCAGUACAAAACAAAACAAAAAGAGAAAAAGAAUAUUGAAGUAAAUUUAAAGCCAAAGGAUUUCGCGACCCUUGACCUGGACUUGCUUGGACUUGUUCAUCUGUGUCCCUCAGCAAGCUUUGAGACAAUGAUGCAAAAGAGUAAUCUCUUACACACUGAAAAGAGCCUGGCUGCAUCCUUCAAAUCAAGCCUCAUCAGUGCUGAGGGAGAGGAUAGCCUAUCUUAACCUGCUGGCAACAAUGCAGCCAAGGAUACCUUUGGCCUUCUUGGCCACAAGGGAACAUGGCUGGGACAUGAUUAAUCCGUUAUCCAGCAGAACUGAGAAUGCCUCCAGGAUGAGCAAUUCCAUCACCUUUCCAGGAAUUCAGGUGGGCCGUGGCCUUUCUUGUCACAUUUCUGCAUACUCUGACAACAUCCCUACACUGACCUCAGAUGGCCUGUCCCUGCUUUCAUCUGCUGUACACUUCUUGCUUAUAUUUGCGUUUGUCAGAAUUUGCUCAUAAAUGCAGAUCUCCUGCCCAUCUUUUUUAUAUAAAAAAUAAGAAAAUAAAAUUUUCUUAUUUUUGAGAAGAUUACAAAAUAAAAUCAAAUACAUUGCU